GAGCGAACGCUGGCGGCAGGCUUAACACAUGCAAGUCGAGCGGGCCCUUCGGGGUCAGCGGCGGACGGGUGAGUAACGCGUGGGAACGUGCCUUCUGGUUCGGAAUAACCCUGGGAAACUAGGGCUAAUACCGGAUACGCCCUUUUGGGGAAAGGUUUACUGCCGGAGGAUCGGCCCGCGUCUGAUUAGCUAGUUGGUGGGGUAACGGCCUACCAAGGCGACGAUCAGUAGCUGGUCUGAGAGGAUGAUCAGCCACACUGGGACUGAGACACGGCCCAGACUCCUACGGGAGGCAGCAGUGGGGAAUAUUGGACAAUGGGCGCAAGCCUGAUCCAGCCAUGCCGCGUGAGUGAUGAAGGCCUUAGGGUUGUAAAGCUCUUUUAUCCGGGACGAUAAUGACGGUACCGGAGGAAUAAGCCCCGGCUAACUUCGUGCCAGCAGCCGCGGUAAUACGAAGGGGGCUAGCGUUGCUCGGAAUCACUGGGCGUAAAGGGCGCGUAGGCGGCGUUUUAAGUCGGGGGUGAAAGCCUGUGGCUCAACCACAGAAUGGCCUUCGAUACUGGGACGCUUGAGUAUGGUAGAGGUUGGUGGAACUGCGAGUGUAGAGGUGAAAUUCGUAGAUAUUCGC
RNAcentral lists this ribosomal RNA (628 nucleotides) under uncultured Alphaproteobacteria bacterium. Its description in RNAcentral is "bacterial SSU rRNA". It matches the Rfam family "Bacterial small subunit ribosomal RNA", at positions 27 to 701 of the family's 1533-position model. Lineage: Bacteria; Pseudomonadati; Pseudomonadota; Alphaproteobacteria. The record is from RNAcentral.